This 597-nucleotide ribosomal RNA is filed under the name Triticum aestivum (bread wheat). RNAcentral describes it as "partial small subunit ribosomal RNA". The record is from RNAcentral. Lineage: Eukaryota; Viridiplantae; Streptophyta; Magnoliopsida; Poales; Poaceae.
AUGGCGACCACCGCGCUGAGCAUGAAGCUGCUGGUGGACACCAAGGCGCGGCGCGUGCUGUUCGCCGAGGCGAGCAAGGACGUGGUGGACUUCCUUUUCUCCAUCCUCUCCCUGCCCGUCGGCACCGCCGUCAAGCUGCUCGGCAAGGGCUCCAUGGUCGGCAGCGUCGGCAGCCUCUACGCCAGUGUUGAGAAGCUCGACGGCACCUACGUCCAGCCCGGCGCCGCCAAGGACGCGCUCCUCCACCCCGCCGUCCCAUCCCCGGCCGUCAGCAACAAAAGCUCCCUCCUCUUAGGCUCGCCGCCGCCGCCGGCGUCGUCCAUCCGGGCCCAGCCCCAGCCGACGACGUUCUUCGGAUGCAAUAGCCAGUGCAGGUCGCGCAACUACGACUACGACAGCGUCUACGUCUACGACGAGGGCGAGUGUGGCCGCCAGCAACUUUCUUGCAGCGGUUGCCGUAGCUACAUGACGGACAAGAGAGGCACCGCCUGUCCGUCGUGUGGCGGCCAGAUGUCCAAGGAGUUGAAGCUCGUGCCGUCAGCGGUGUCCGGACGGCAGGCGGCGUCGCCGGAAAGGGGUUCGUGCAGGGCAUCGUGA